GUUAUGAUGUCCUUCUGACGUUGUGGUACCCAGAUUGCCCCCAGCACUCGCAGCGGGCAGGGCAUGGGGCCUUCAGUCACCUGGCAGCGCUGGGCCUGCUGCGCCACAGGGCACGGUUACACAUCUAGUGCACACUGCUCAGAUCGUGCUUGCUAGCAGCCAGAGCUAGAGCUUGGAGGCCUAAUUUGGUUGUAGAAUUGUUUGUAAAAACACAGAACUGGCCUCAAAAUGGAGCCUCGGGGAACCCUGCUGUGACUGACCCCCAGCCUGCUGUAACCCCAUUUCCUACCACCCUUUGAGCUCAGUCCUUCAGCCGGUUGUUCACCCAUCCUAUUACAGGAAAUCCUUGGUACACAGCCAGCAAUGCGAAGCGGAUGAAAUCCCCAGCCUCCUGUUGACUCCAAGAUUGCAAAUUGCCUGCGUACAGAAUCAAUUAAAAAUAAUUCCGAACAUUAACAAAGUAAUGUAGUGAAAUGAGUGACUUGUUUAUUUUCUCUCUCUCCUUGCCUUUCUCCUUGCUGGGGGCAACAUGAGCUGGCAGUAGGGCUGUUAGUUCUCAGAAGUCUUCAUGCUUCGAUCAAAUUGUUUAUUUCUGCCCCCAAAGUCCUGCUACUGCUGGUUAGGAGACCAAAAACCCCUGGCUCUUAUCAGUGGGGUCAAGGCUGAGGCUUUGGGGUCCUGCUGCUGCUGGUUAGGGAGUCCAAAAAUCCCUACCUGUGAUCAGUGAGGUAGAGAAUUUGGGCAGACGUGUCAUGCCCUGUCAUAACCCGGAUUCCCCAUCUCUUUAUGCAUAGUUCUUCAUUAACCUCGUUUGGGAUGGAAACUGGUGCAAGAUGCUGCGCUGAGGGCUUCUGCUGAUCUACUUGUGGGGCUGAGGGCACGCAGCAACCUGUUCUGCAAUGUCUUGUUGGCCUCAGACUGCAUCAUAUGCACAGCACCCAGCCCAGCACCCCUGAGGUGUGGACAAAUUUGAAUCUGGGGUCUGUUCAGCCCCCUCCGAUUCUUAUGCCAACCCCUCCUUUCUGGGAAUAAAACCCCCACAAAAAUAAGAAAACAAUUGGAAAUUAAUGUUCAAUUACACGGUGGCAGAUAAGUGAAAUGAAUCAAUCUGUGGCAGGGCAGAUAAGCACAAGCCUCUGGCCCGGAGGAGCAGCUGCCUGCUGAGGGAGAUAACAAGGUCAUUGCCAAAUAACCCCCCCUUCCUCCUCUUUCUCGCUCCCCUGGUCUCCUUCCAUUCCCUCUCCCAGCCAAACAAAGCACUUUCCAAGCCAGCCUUUGGCAAAGCAGCAAUGCCCGCUGACCCCAUCCCAAGGCUGCUCUCUCUAGAACCAACUGAAUCUGUCCUGCUUGGGCAGGGGACCCAGGUGGAUUUGGGUUCAGUUGGCCUCCCACAACCCA
RNAcentral lists this long non-coding RNA (1398 nucleotides) under Gallus gallus (chicken). RNAcentral describes it as "long non-coding RNA NONGGAT001517". Lineage: Eukaryota; Metazoa; Chordata; Aves; Galliformes; Phasianidae. The record is from RNAcentral.